RNAcentral lists this ribosomal RNA (900 nucleotides) under Triticum aestivum (bread wheat). Its description in RNAcentral is "partial small subunit ribosomal RNA". The record is from RNAcentral. Lineage: Eukaryota; Viridiplantae; Streptophyta; Magnoliopsida; Poales; Poaceae.
AUGGCCAACGAGGGCCUGAUCCCUCAUGGAGCUGCGAGGCUUCCGGGGAAAGAGUGGCAGCCCCAGCCGGAAGAGGGUGAGUGCGUGCUUCUGGCUACCCAUGUCGACCGCGGAUUUUCUUUGCCGCCGAGCAUUUUCUUCCGUGAUUUCUUGAACUUUUUUGGAGCGCAACUCCACCACUUCACCCCGAAUUCUAUCGCCUAUCUUGCCGCGUUUGUGUCCAUGUGUGAGAGUUUCCUGGGUUGUCGACCGCAUUGGGGUUUGUUCAAGCACAUAUUCACGUGUCGCUCUCAGACCGUGAAGAAGGCGAGCCCAGGCGACGAAAAAACCCGAGUUGUCCAAAUGUGUGGGGGUCUGGGGAUCCAGGUGAGGAACAAGAGCACCUUCCCAGCCAUGACAUUUCCCGAGUCAGUCAGAGGCUGGCUGUCGACCUGGUUCUACUGCCAGGAUCAGUCGACGCCGGGGCAGUCGAGUGGACUCCCUCAGUUCACCAUGGGCCGAGUGAACAAGCCCUCCUCUCUGAAGGUGAUUCCGGAGGAGAAAGCUGACGUGAAGAUGCUGAUGGAGCGUGUAGUUCAGUUGGUUCGGGAGGGAGUGACGGGUAUGGAUCUCCUGGAGGUUUUCCUUAGACGUCGUAUACAGCCUCUUCAGUUCCGGAGCCAUUGCAUGUGGUUGUACUGCGGGACUGAGGAUGUGACUCGGGUCAAUCCAGAAACAGUCGACGAUGCCACUCUGGAAAGGUGGAUGGCCGCUGUUACUGGGAACAAGGAUAACCCUCGCGGAGCCAGAAGGAUUCCUCCACUCGACUGCCACAGUGAUCCAAACAAGGUAUGUCUGCUCCACUUCCCAUUGUAUUCUCGUCACUUUUAUUUCCGUUUUCUCUGCCGAUCGGUCGACUGA